UACAGAGGGGGCGAGCGUUGUUCGGAAUUACUGGGCGUAAAGGGCGCGUAGGCGGCCCGCUAAGUCGAACGUGAAAUCCCCAGGCUCAACCUGGGAACUGCGUCCGAUACUGGCAGGCUUGAAUCCGGGAGAGGGAUGUGGAAUUCCUGGUGUAGCGGUGAAAUGCGCAGAUAUCAGGAGGAACACCGAUGGCGAAGGCAGGUCUCUGGGCCAUAACUGACGCUGAGAAGCGAAAGCAUGGGGAGCGAACAGG
This 253-nucleotide ribosomal RNA is filed under the name uncultured bacterium. RNAcentral describes it as "partial 16S ribosomal RNA". It matches the Rfam family "Bacterial small subunit ribosomal RNA", at positions 524 to 776 of the family's 1533-position model. The record is from RNAcentral.